UCGGGACUUCAAAGCGCUUAUCGCGAAUCAUUUGAUUUGAUGAAAAUCACGCCCAUUUUUCAAGAAACGAAACUUUCGUUUCGAGAUGUAACGUUAGCUCUCUAGCUCUUUUGCUCAGCAGCUACUUUCAUUGUGUGCGGAGCAUAUGAAACAUGCUCUUAAUCUGUGACUGAGGGUCAAAUACACUAUGACAUUCCACGGUGACAUGUGUGCUGAUCUUUGAAAACGCACUCCUGCACUAGACUUUACCAGAGAAUGAAGUGUCCUCAGUGCAAUCAUGUGUCUUUGGAAAAGGCACCAAACUUCUGCAGUCGGUGUGGCUGUAAGCUGAUGUCUCAGUCAAAUGAGACGGCAGCAGAAAAGCCACAAGACGAGUCUCAAACAUCCUCAAACAUUCCACACAGUACCGAUGCAGAAAUGACUGAUAUUGGUCGUGAAUCAGAAGCUUUGAAUUACCAGAUUGCCGGUGUAUCUUCAAAACGACCAAAUGAAGAUAUAAACCCUAACCCAAAGAAAAAGAAAAGAAAGAAAAAGAAGAAAAAAGCAGGUGUUGCAGAGGGGCCUUUGUCUCUGACCUCUGAUCUCUCUGAUAUAUCGCUGAAUGAUAAAGAGAAGAAAAUGGAGAAAGACCAAUCUUUUGAGAGUGAUGGCUCCUACUGCUCUGUAGAUGAUAUGCCUAAACCAGCUGAAUCAUCCUCUCAUCUGAGCCCACCAGAGAAUGAAUCCACUAGGGCAACACAACUCAGCACAACUUUACCCCAUGCUGGUGUAGAUCAGUCUGUUGAGCAGUCAAAUAGUGGCAAGGAGAGUUGUGUAGCACCUGGAAUGUUAAAAUCAUCCAAGUUAAAUUUGACCCAAGAGCCAAUCAGCACCAGCUCUGCCAAUGAUUCUCCAGCAGUGUCAGUGGGAGCAGAUCAGACAGCUGAAAAAAACAAAAUUAAAUCUAAGAAUAAGGGUCAAAAGAGCAUGUCCACAAGAGCACAGACAACUCUAGAUCAGAGUGCUACUAUGGACCAGAAUGCAAACAUAAAAAGCAGCACAGGCAAUCAAAAGGAAACAGAUCAUCAGGGCAUGGAACCACUGAAGAAUUACAGUUCCAGUGGAGAUUCAAUGAUGAAGGUUGAGCACAGUGAGAAGCAGCAGUCUGCUCAUGCUAACCAGAUGAAUCCAGAAUCCAAAAAAGUAAAUGAAAGCGGCAAUACAGAAACCAAUAAGGACAACCAAAAAAAAAAUCAGAAUGAGGAACCACAGAAAUCAUCACAGGACAUGGUGUUUGGCCCACAGAGUAAUUUAAAGAAGAAUCACAGUUCCAGUGGAGAUUCAAAGUUAAAGGAUGAGCACAGUGAGAAGCAGCAGUCUGCUCAUGCUAACCACAUGAAUCCAGAAUCCAAAAAAGUCAAUGAAGGCGGCGAUACAGAAACCAAUAAGGACAACCCAAAAAAAAAUAAGAAUGAGGAACCACAGAAAUCAUCACAGGAUAUGGUGUUUGACCCACAGAGUAAAUUAAAGAAGAAUCAGGGUUCCAGCAGAGAUGCAGCAGUGAAGGCUGUGCACAAUAAGAAGCAGCACUCUUCACAUGAAAAGAAAGAUUCUGCUGCUGACCAGAAACACAAUAAAAAUGACAAUACAAAAAGUCAGUGUGACGUGCCACCAAAAAGGAAUCCAGCAUCAGCUCAACAUAUAAGUUCCAGUGACAGACUGACAAUUUACUUUCAUGCAGUCUUGUCAAAAGACUUCAAAUUUAACCUAGAAGAAGAUCUUAUCUUCAUAAGGGCCGGUGGUUGCCUUGGUGACUGGGAAAAUAAUUUGGUCAAGCUGUCUGUGUCACGGGAUCUCGGUGAGCAUGGAUUUCUUAUCGAGGGGAAAUUUGUAUGCAAGAAGACCAGUGCAGAAGCUGUGUCCAUACCAUACAAGUAUGUUGUAUAUAAAGCAAAAAAGCAGAAGUAUGAGUAUGAAUACAUCUACAAACUGGAUUCAAAUGAAACCACCAACAGAUGUUUAUUUGUCAAACCACGUCUCCUAAAUGAUGAAGGAGAAUGGCAUCAGUAUGACGAUAUCAUCUGUGUAGAACCUUCUAAGAAUAUGUUGAAACGGCUCAAAGAUGCUUUUUGGCCUGAUCAGAGGAAAGAUGUAAUUCAGGGGAGAGAAAUCGCUGGUAUAGUCAUGCUGGAAACAAUUUUUGACCUCCUGAGAAACUGGGGCAAAAUUAACCUCUACAGCUUCUUUAGUCAGCUGCGACAGUUUUAUGAAGUUUAUGGAAACCCUUUUGUAUUUGAAAAGACAGAAAUGAAGUGGUACUCACUCAAUUACGAUGAAAAAGAUGUGAGCAAGCUUCUGAAGCAGUUCAUGCUUCAGCAGGUGACUCCAGAGUUACAGAAAGACAGCAAAGAAAGGAGUACUUUCAUCAAGGAGCCACUGAAGGCUGCUCUUAUUAUGCUCUAUGUGUGGAAACAGUAUCAUCUAGAAUUAGACAACGGGAUUCUUUCUCGUCUCUGCACUGCCCUUUGCCUGCCGAAAUUACCUAAGGAUGAGUUCCUGUCUUUCUGGGCUGACAUAAUGGAAUCAUUCUCAGUGAUAAAAAACUUGUCUGAGAUGGUGGAGGCACUGAUCCUCAGAGUGAGAGCUGCCAACAUGAUUAGAUGGAUCAUCGUAAUUCCACUACUGCAUCUUUUCAAAGGCACCUCAAAACCAUUUGAGCCAGUGUUUAUUAAGGUCAACCUACAAUUUGAGCAGAACUGGGCUGGACUGCAGGGACUCAAAUCAGCUAAUAUAACUUCCCCCGGAAGCCAAGAUAGAAGGGCGAUGUUGAAUCUCAUGGAAACACAUGGACAUUUGGUGGAGGUGGACAAACUGCUGGCCAGAUCUUGGAUGUAUCUGAUGACUGUAGAUGAGUUGGUCAAGUGCAGCUCCAUCAUCCAUGCAGAACUCUUGGACAUCCUGCAGCUUUUCACCAUGAAAUGUCCCGAUGAUAUAUGCUACAGCACUUCCACCAGUGUAGCGGAUACUCUGGCAUACAUUCAAAGUAACUUGCUCGAACAACGAUACAGUUGUCCCAGUGAGGAUUAUGGCAUUCAGUGUGUACAAGCAACAUGUAAACUUCUAGAGAAGAUCUGCAAAAGAAUUCAUUACUACAGUCAUGCACAAAAUUUCACUGAUAUUCCUGUUGCUUGCAUGAACCUAGUGGCCUCCGUGUCAGGAUUUGCCCAGGCGAGACAACAAGCUGACACUUUUCCUGAGAAGACUCUUGUGUUACUCAAUGAGGCCAAGAAAUCUGUGAGGACAUGGAUCAGACAAACUUUCAAAGGCAGACUUUUAGACAGUAGCUAUAUGUCGGCUGUCAGCUUCACAAAAGAGAUUGAGGUAAACAGAACAAGUACAGUUGAGGUCAUAAGUUUAUAUAUGCAGUACUAAAUAAAAUA
RNAcentral lists this long non-coding RNA (3419 nucleotides) under Sinocyclocheilus grahami. RNAcentral's name for it is "lncRNA (ENSSGRG00000036562.1)". Lineage: Eukaryota; Metazoa; Chordata; Actinopteri; Cypriniformes; Cyprinidae. The record is from RNAcentral.